AAAUUUGGGGAAGAAGAAGUAUGA
Molecule: non-coding RNA, 24 nt
Filed under: Cricetulus griseus (Chinese hamster)
Lineage: Eukaryota; Metazoa; Chordata; Mammalia; Rodentia; Cricetidae
Source: RNAcentral